Molecule: unclassified non-coding RNA, 310 nt
Filed under: plant metagenome
Description: partial contains 5.8S ribosomal RNA, internal transcribed spacer 2, and large subunit ribosomal RNA
Rfam family: 5.8S ribosomal RNA (bases 1-105)
Source: RNAcentral
GAAAUGUGAUAAGUAGUGUGAAUUGCAGAAUUCAGUGAAUCAGCGAAUCUUUGAACGCACAUUGCGCCCCUUGGUAUUCCAUGGGGCAUGCCUGUUCGAGCGUCAUUUGUACCCUCAAGCUCUGCUUGGUGUUGGGUGUUUGUCCCCGUCUCCGCGCGUGGACUCGCCCCAAAGUGAUUGGCAGCCGGCGUACUGGUCCCGGAGCGCAGCACAUGUCGCGCAAACGAGUGCCUUGGUACGGCGGCGUCCAUAAGCCCCUCUCUCACGCUCUUGACCUCGGAUCAGGUAGGGAUACCCGCUGAACUUAAGC